Cyprinus carpio (common carp) is the source of this 1736-nucleotide long non-coding RNA. NCBI's taxonomy places the organism in Eukaryota, Metazoa, Chordata, Actinopteri, Cypriniformes, Cyprinidae. The record is from Ensembl.
UAAUAGACAUGUAGUUGCAAAUUAACGAUAAUUAUUUGACAUGUAGUUACAAAGUUACUUAUAGUUAGUAGAAUGUCUAAAGUGGACUAUUAAAAUAAAGUAACCAAGACGAUUAACUACUGUUAUUCCUGUUAAUUAUACAAAUAACUCUUAAAACUGAUCAGAGAUCAGGUAAAAACCAUAAAAACUUGUUCAGUGGCUGGCCACAAGGGGGUGAUCUCUUAAUCCGCAUGAUUCAUGUGUAACCCAGGUCACUAACAAGAUCACUAGUAAUUAAUAAAUAUUUUAUUUUUAUUAAUAUAUCUUUAGUAUUUAUAUAAAAAAUGCAGAUUGAAGUUAGUUUACAUUUAUAUUAUAAAGCUAGAAAAAGGAAAUCGCUAAAGUUGAGUAGUGAGGUGAGAGGUUAGUCCCGCCCCCCUGCAAAAAGUUAGCGCACAAGCAGUCAGAACGAGAGUGAACUUGAACGAGAGAAGACGCAGUUGCGAAUGAGAAAUGUUAUGAGAAUCAUUUGAGUAAUCAGACAUAGAUGAUUAACAAGUUUAAAAUAUAAAUCGUUGAUAUAUAACUUUUAGAAGCUCACGGUUUGAAAAUAGUAGUUUGAACUGAAGUUAGAACGGGAUGUGAUGAGACGGACGCAAGAGAUUUAAUCAACAUCUUUUCCGGGGAGAAACUAUUUUAUUUUUGUUUUCUGAUUUAUACUUCUCCUUGGCCGGGUUUUUUUUUUCUUUCUUUCUUUCUUUGCUGAAGAAUUGUGUUCCUGAAUCCUGUCCUUGCCGAGUAUUCAUAUUCUGGUUUGGACUGGCGAGCCAUCCCACCAACUCGUACCUGAAACAAAGAAAGGAGUGUGAAAUCUGCCGAACUGGUAGGAUCAAACUAUUUUUUUUUUUUUGCUUUGAGUUUUUCUUUUUUUCAAGUUUUUAAUGCUGCCUGGAUCUUCAGUGGAUCAACCAUUGUUUUUUUUUCCUCUCCUGGAUUAAAUUUUUCCACCUUUGAUGAACAUUGUUUUAUAUUUUUUGAAUUUGAAAUAGAGACACUGAUCUUAAACUGAAACUCAACUGGACAUUAAGACUGAGUUUGAACGGAAAGACUGAAGCCUAUUGUGAAACGGAUUUUAAACUUUUAAAAUCUGAAUGCCUUUGAGGAACUAAAUUCAAAACUGAGACACUGAUUUUGGAAUUUAGUGUGUGGAAAUCAUUAUUAAUGUCUGUGUUCGGAAUCUGAACCUUGAUUUGGGUUUUUGAAUUUUCAUACUAAUAGUAGGACCCCGUUACACAUGGCUUCCCAGAAAUCAUUGCCCACAACAAAUUUCAAAACUGUUAUGAUGCAAUGAAGCCUUGUUUACGGAAAUCACAUGACUUUGGUGGUUUGAUACACUCUCUUAACCACUGAUUCAAAACUAAUUCAUAAAGGUUUCGAACGCGGAACGAUUGAUUGUCUUCUGCUAAUUCACAUCUGCAUGCUAGUGGCGCCAACCAACAAUGCAUUUUUCCUCAGAUAAGCAUCUCAUAUAUGGAUUUAACAUCAUCUGCUGCUCAAUAUACAGCAUUACAUUAAGAUAAAGUUUGGUUCUACGCCAGAAACACAAACUAUUUAUAAUGCUUACAGGAAUACACCCUAAAAUAUAAUUAGAGGUACAAUUAGCAUCAAGCUACACUUAAAAAUGUAUGUAAUUAUUAAUGUUUUUGCUUAAAACCCACUGUAAACCAUCACUGAGUGCUUGUAAUAACUUCCUAUUG